RNAcentral lists this ribosomal RNA (435 nucleotides) under uncultured bacterium. Its description in RNAcentral is "bacterial SSU rRNA". It matches the Rfam family "Bacterial small subunit ribosomal RNA", at positions 355 to 804 of the family's 1533-position model. The record is from RNAcentral.
UGGGGAAUAUUGGACAAUGGGCGCAAGCCUGAUCCAGCCAUGCCGCGUGAGUGACGAAGGCCUUAGGGUUGUAAAGCUCUUUUGGCGGGGACGAUAAUGACGGUACCCGCAGAAUAAGCCCCGGCUAACUUCGUGCCAGCAGCCGCGGUAAUACGAAGGGGGCUAGCGUUGUUCGGAAUUACUGGGCGUAAAGCGCACGUAGGCGGACUGAUAAGUCAGGGGGUGAAAUCCCGGGGCUCAACCUCGGAACUGCCUUUGAUACUGUUAGUCUCGAGUCCGGAAGAGGUGAGUGGAAUUCCUAGUGUAGAGGUGAAAUUCGUAGAUAUUAGGAAGAACACCAGUGGCGAAGGCGGCUCACUGGUCCGGUACUGACGCUGAGGUGCGAAAGCGUGGGGAGCAAACAGGAUUAGAUACCCAUGUAGUCCCUGAGCGGGC